UACGUAGGGUGCGAGCGUUGUCCGGAAUUACUGGGCGUAAAGAGCUCGUAGGUGGUUUGUCGCGUUGUUCGUGAAAACCGGGGGCUUAACCCUCGGCGUGCGGGCGAUACGGGCAGACUUGAGUACUGCAGGGGAGACUGGAAUUCCUGGUGUAGCGGUGGAAUGCGCAGAUAUCAGGAGGAACACCGGUGGCGAAGGCGGGUCUCUGGGACGGUACUGACGCUGAGACGCGAAAGCGUGGGGAGCGAACAGG
Molecule: ribosomal RNA, 253 nt
Filed under: uncultured bacterium
Lineage: Bacteria
Description: partial 16S ribosomal RNA
Rfam family: Bacterial small subunit ribosomal RNA
Source: RNAcentral